This is a non-coding RNA of Gekko japonicus, 74 nucleotides long. The record is from the annotation of a RefSeq genome assembly. Lineage: Eukaryota; Metazoa; Chordata; Lepidosauria; Squamata; Gekkonidae.
GGAAGUGUGCCCGAACAGCCACAAGGACUACUUUGAUAGAGUAGAACACAGAGGUUAAACCCCUCUCAUUUCCU